AUACGGAGGGUGCAAGCGUUACCCGGAAUCAUUGGGCGUAAAGCGUCCGCAGGUGGUUUAUUAAGUCAGAUAUUAAAUCUUGGGGCCCAACUCCAAGGCUGUAUCUGAAACUGAUAGACUAGAGUCUUUCAGGGGCAAGCAGAAUUCUGUGUGUAGGGGUAAAAUCCGUAGAUACACAGAGGAAUACCAAAAGCGAAGGCAGCUUGCUGGGAAAGUACUGACACUCAUGGACGAAAGCGUAGGUAGCGAACGGGAUUAGAAACCCCAGUAGUCC
RNAcentral lists this ribosomal RNA (274 nucleotides) under uncultured bacterium. Its description in RNAcentral is "partial 16S ribosomal RNA". It matches the Rfam family "Bacterial small subunit ribosomal RNA", at positions 523 to 796 of the family's 1533-position model. The record is from RNAcentral.